This 116-nucleotide ribosomal RNA is filed under the name Neisseria gonorrhoeae. Lineage: Bacteria; Pseudomonadati; Pseudomonadota; Betaproteobacteria; Neisseriales; Neisseriaceae. The record is from RNAcentral.
CCUGGCGUCUGCAGCGCGGUAUUCCGACCUGACCCCCUGGCGCACUCAGAAGUGAAACGCCGUCGCGCCGUGGGUACCUUGGGGCCUCCCCCUGCGAGCGUAGGGAACUGCCAGGC